UACAGGGGGUGCAAACGUUGCUCGGAAUCAUUGGGCGUAAAGCGCACGUAGGCGGUUCGUUAUGUCGGAUGUGAAAGCCCUUGGCUUAACCGAGGAAGUGCAUCCGAAACUGGCGAGCUAGAGUACUAAAGAGGAUCGCGGAAUUCCCGGUGUAGAGGUGAAAUUCGUAGAUAUCGGGAGGAACACCGGUGGCGAAGGCGGCGAUCUGGGUAGAUACUGACGCUAAGACGCGAAAGCGUGGGGAGCAAACAGG
RNAcentral lists this ribosomal RNA (253 nucleotides) under uncultured bacterium. Its description in RNAcentral is "partial 16S ribosomal RNA". It matches the Rfam family "Bacterial small subunit ribosomal RNA", at positions 524 to 776 of the family's 1533-position model. The record is from RNAcentral.